AGAGUUUGAUCAUGGCUCAGGACGAACGCUGGCGGCGCGCUUAACACAUGCAAGUCGAACGGAGCUCUUCGGGGCUCAGUGGCGAACGGGUGCGUAACACGUGAGCAACCUGCCUGGUCGUGGGGGAUAACCAGUGGAAACGCUGGCUAAUACCGCAUGAGCUCCUUGGCUCGAUUGGGCUGAGGAGGAAAGCUCCUGCAAGGGAGUGCGACCAGAGGGGCUCGCGGCGUAUCAGCUAGUUGGAGGGGUAACGGCCCACCAAGGCGAUGACGCGUAGCCGAUCUGAGAGGAUGAUCGGCCACAUUGGGACUGAGAUACGGCCCAGACUCCUACGGGAGGCAGCAGUGGGGAAUCUUGCGCAAUGGGCGAAAGCCUGACGCAGCGACGCCGCGUGCGGGAGGAAGCUUUUCGGAGUGUAAACCGCUGUCAGAGGGGAAGAAAUGCUGGGGGAGGAAAUGCUCCCAGUUUGACGGUACCCUCAAAGGAAGCACCGGCUAACUCUGUGCCAGCAGCCGCGGUAAUACAGAGGGUGCAAGCGUUGUUCGGAAUUACUGGGCGUAAAGCGCGCGCAGGCGGCCCUUUAAGUCUGUCGGUCAAACGCCGGGGCUCAACCCCGUGCUCGCCGCGGAUACUGGAGGGCUGGAGACAGGUAGAGGCAGGCGGAAUUCCGGGUGUAGCGGUGGAAUGCGUAGAGAUCCGGAAGAACACCAGAGGCGAAGGCGGCCUGCUGGGCCUUGUCUGACGCUGAGGCGCGAAAGCGUGGGGAGCGAACAGGAUUAGAUACCCUAGUAGUCC
RNAcentral lists this ribosomal RNA (795 nucleotides) under uncultured bacterium. Its description in RNAcentral is "bacterial SSU rRNA". It matches the Rfam family "Bacterial small subunit ribosomal RNA", at positions 8 to 796 of the family's 1533-position model. The record is from RNAcentral.